CUACGUGUAGGAGGCUGAAGGUACCAUACGAAUAAGGAUCGGCUAACUCCGUGCCAGCAGCCGCGGUAAUACGGAGGAUCCAAGCGUUAUCCGGAUUUAUUGGGUUUAAAGGGUCCGUAGGCGGGUCUUUAAGUCAGUGGUGAAAGCCCGCAGCUCAACUGUGGAAUUGCCAUUGAUACUGGAGAUCUUGAGUGUAGUAGAAGUAGGCGGAAUAGGGCAUGUAGCGGUGAAAUGCAUAGAUAUGCCCUAGAACACCGAUUGCGAAGGCAGCUUACUAUGUUACAACUGACGCUGAGGGACGAAAGCGUGGGUAGCAAACAGGAUUAGAUACCCUGGUAGUCCACGCUGUAAACGAUGAUUACUCGCUGUUGGCGACAUACAGUCAGCGGCCAAGCGAAAGCAUUAAGUAAUCCACCUGGGGAGUACGCCGGCAACGGUGAAACUCAAAUGAAUUGACGGG
This 460-nucleotide ribosomal RNA is filed under the name uncultured bacterium. RNAcentral's name for it is "bacterial SSU rRNA". It matches the Rfam family "Bacterial small subunit ribosomal RNA", at positions 455 to 917 of the family's 1533-position model. The record is from RNAcentral.